GUAGGUGGCGAGCGUUAUCAGGAUUUACUGGGCGUAAAGCGCGUGCAGGGCGGGUUCCGUAAGUCGGACGUGAAAGCUCCUGGCUUAACUGGGAGAGGCCCGUUCGGUACUGCGGGACUUGAGGUCGGGAGAGGGACGUGGGAUUCCCGGUGUAGUGGUGGAAUGCGUAGAUAUCGGGAGGAACACCAGUGGCGAAGGCGGCGUCCUGGCCCGCACCUGACGCUAAGACGCGAAAGCGUGGGUAGCGAACGGGAUUAGAUACCCCGGUAGUCCACGCCGUAAACGGUGGAUACUAGGUGUUGGUGGCUAUCGUCAUCAGUGCCGUAGCUAACGCGUUAAGUAUCCCGCCUGGGGACUACGGCCGCAAGGCUA
Molecule: ribosomal RNA, 372 nt
Filed under: uncultured organism
Description: partial 16S ribosomal RNA
Rfam family: Bacterial small subunit ribosomal RNA
Source: RNAcentral